GCGUGAGUGAAGAAGGCCUUAGGGUUGUAAAACUCUUUCGGCGGGGAAGAUGAUGACGGUACCCGCAGAAGAAGCCCCGGCUAACUCCGUGCCAGCAGCCGCGGUAAUACGGAGGGGGCUAGCGUUGUUCGGAAUUACUGGGCGUAAAGGGCACGUAGGCGGCACGUUAAGUCAGGCGUGAAAGCCCUGGGCUCAACCUAGGAAUUGCGCUUGAGACUGGCGAGCUAGAGACCGGGAGGGGGUGGCGGAAUUCCCAGUGUAGAGGUGAAAUUCGU
Molecule: ribosomal RNA, 275 nt
Filed under: uncultured bacterium
Lineage: Bacteria
Description: partial 16S ribosomal RNA
Rfam family: Bacterial small subunit ribosomal RNA
Source: RNAcentral